Molecule: non-coding RNA, 21 nt
Filed under: Arabidopsis thaliana (thale cress)
Lineage: Eukaryota; Viridiplantae; Streptophyta; Magnoliopsida; Brassicales; Brassicaceae
Source: RNAcentral
UAAGGGCUUGAUUGGUUCUCC